UGGACAUUCCUUUUGAGUUCUGUUUCUUCUCCAGUGAAGAUAACACGUUGUGAAUGUCCUAGAGCAUCAGAGUAGUGCUGUGCCCCACCUUUUUAAAGUCAAAAUGGUGGAUCAUUCCACUACUGACAUUU
Molecule: small nucleolar RNA, 131 nt
Organism: Echinops telfairi (small Madagascar hedgehog)
Lineage: Eukaryota; Metazoa; Chordata; Mammalia; Afrosoricida; Tenrecidae
Source: Ensembl